Molecule: ribosomal RNA, 245 nt
Filed under: uncultured archaeon
Lineage: Archaea
Description: partial 16S ribosomal RNA
Rfam family: Archaeal small subunit ribosomal RNA
Source: RNAcentral
UAACCGCGCCACAAGGGGUAAUCACGUUUAUUGGGCCUAAAGCAUCCGUAGCCGGCUUAAUUUGUCUCUGGUGAAAUCCUGCAGCAAACUGUAGGGCGUGCUGGAGAUACUGUUGGGCUUGGAACUGGGAGAGGAUAGGAGUACUGUACGGGUAAGGGUAAAAUCUUUUAAUCCAUACAGGACUACCUGUGGCGAAGGCGCCUAUCUGGAACGGGUUCGACGGUGAGGGAUGAAAGCGUAGGGAG